This 24-nucleotide non-coding RNA is filed under the name Mus musculus (house mouse). The record is from RNAcentral. Lineage: Eukaryota; Metazoa; Chordata; Mammalia; Rodentia; Muridae.
UGACAGAUGCUUGGAUGGAGGAAA